AUCUCAUGCAGAGUGGCUGAGGGUAACGGGCCCGUAGAAGCCACGACAACCGGAUCAGGAAAGCCUGAUCGCCUGGUGCCAAUUCCCGCCCGGUUUGCGGGGGACAUGAGAU
RNAcentral lists this non-coding RNA (112 nucleotides) under Candidatus Sulfotelmatobacter kueseliae. Its description in RNAcentral is "SAM". It matches the Rfam family "SAM riboswitch aptamer (S box leader)". Rfam says of the family: The SAM riboswitch is found upstream of a number of genes which code for proteins involved in methionine or cysteine biosynthesis in Gram-positive bacteria. The SAM riboswitch acts at the level of transcription termination control. The predicted structure consists of a complex stem-loop region followed by a single stem loop terminator region. The record is from RNAcentral. Lineage: Bacteria; Pseudomonadati; Acidobacteriota; Terriglobia; Terriglobales; Candidatus Korobacteraceae.